GGGCCCGUAGCUCAGUUGGGAGAGCGCUGCCUUCGCAUGGCAGAGGCCACGAGUUCGAGUCUCGUCGGGUCCA
This 73-nucleotide transfer RNA is filed under the name Rubrobacter radiotolerans. RNAcentral describes it as "tRNA-Ala (CGC) (tRNA-Ala-CGC-1-1)". It matches the Rfam family "tRNA". From Rfam's summary of the family: Transfer RNA (tRNA) molecules are approximately 80 nucleotides in length. Their secondary structure includes four short double-helical elements and three loops (D, anti-codon, and T loops). RNAcentral also lists the same sequence under 3 other names. The record is from Rfam by way of RNAcentral. Lineage: Bacteria; Bacillati; Actinomycetota; Rubrobacteria; Rubrobacterales; Rubrobacteraceae.